This 736-nucleotide ribosomal RNA is filed under the name uncultured organism. RNAcentral's name for it is "bacterial SSU rRNA". It matches the Rfam family "Bacterial small subunit ribosomal RNA", at positions 40 to 811 of the family's 1533-position model. The record is from RNAcentral.
CGGCGUGGAUUAGGCAUGCGAGUCGCGCGAGAAUGUAGCAAUACAGGAAAGCGGCGAAAGGGAGAGGACAACAUGGGAAUCUGCCCGGGGGUCGAGGAUAGCGUCGGGAAACUGACGGUAAUACUCGAUAAUGUUUACGGACCAAAGGUUUACUGCCCCUGGAUGAGCCCAUGCCCCAUUAGCUAGUUGGCGGUGUAAUAGACCACCAAGGCGAUGAUGGGUAGCUGGUGUGAGAGCACGACCAGCCUCACUGGCACUGAGACACUGGCCAGACACCUACGGGUGGCUGCAGUCGAGAAUCUUCGGCAAUGGACGAAAGUCUGACCGAGCGACGCCGCGUGCGGGACGAAGGCCUUCGGGUUGUAAACCGCUGUCGAGGGGGAUUAAGGGCAACUUGAAAGAACCCUGGAGGAAGGAGAGGCUAAGCUCGUGCCAGCAGCCGCGGUAAGACGAGCUCUCCAAACGUUAUUCGGUAUCACUGGGCUUAAAGAGUUCGUAGGCGGCUUUGCAGGUGGGGUGUGAAAGCCCUCGGCUCAACCGAGGAAUUGCGCCCCAAACCGCAAGGCUUGAGGGAUAUAGGGGUAAGCGGAACAGAUGGUGGAGCGGUGAAAUGCAUUGAUAUCAUCUGGAACACCGGUGGCGAAGGCGGCUUACUGGAUAUUUUCUGACGCUGAGGAACGAAAGCUAGGGUAGCGAACGGGAUUAGAUACCCCGGUAGUCCUAGCCGUAAACGAUG